RNAcentral lists this ribosomal RNA (477 nucleotides) under uncultured bacterium. RNAcentral's name for it is "bacterial SSU rRNA". It matches the Rfam family "Bacterial small subunit ribosomal RNA", at positions 335 to 799 of the family's 1533-position model. The record is from RNAcentral.
ACUCCUACGGGAAGCAGCAGUAGGGAAUCUUCCACAAUGGGCGAAAGCCUGAUGGAGCAACGCCGCGUGGGUGAAGAAGGUCUUCGGAUCGUAAAACCCCUGUUGUUAGAGAAGAAAGUGCGUGAGAGUAACUGUUCACGUUUCGACGGUAUCUAACCAGAAAGCCACGGCUAACUACGUGCCAGCAGCCGCGGUAAUACGUAGGUGGCAAGCGUUAUCCGGAUUUAUUGGGGCGUAAAGGGAACGCAGGCGGUCUUUUAAGUCUGAUGUGAAAGCCUUCGGCUUAACCGGAGUAGUGCAUUGGAAAACUGGGAGACUUGAGUGCAGAAGAGGAGAGUGGAACUCCAUGUGUAGCGGUGAAAUGCGUAGAUAUAUGGAAGAACACCAGUGGCGAAAGCGGCUCUCUGGUCUGUAACUGACGCUGAGGUUCGAAAGCGUGGGUAGCAAACAGGAUUAGAUACCCCUGGUAGGAUAGCG